Phascolarctos cinereus (koala) is the source of this 575-nucleotide long non-coding RNA. RefSeq lists it as uncharacterized. The record is from RefSeq and is a predicted model, not a curated record. Lineage: Eukaryota; Metazoa; Chordata; Mammalia; Diprotodontia; Phascolarctidae.
GUUACAGUUUGGUAAUAAGAGUUGAGAGUCUGGGUAGUUGCAUUCAUCCAUGAUCGGAGAAAGAAAGAGACUCAUUGAGCCCAGGGCCAAUACUUCCCCCACCCAACCCCUCAAAACCCACCGGCCCGCGCCUUGGCUGCAGUCACAAUGCUUCUCUGGGCGGCUGCAGCUGCAUCUCCGCUUUUCACUCUGUCCAGGUCUCCACUCUUCCGGUGCACAAAUAUCAACCGGUUUGAAAACCAUGAUCACUGGCCUUGAACAUUACAAGUCAUCUUAAAAUCAUCAUGGACCAUCACAAAUAUUCUACAGAAAUGUAUCUUAUAUUUCCUGUUAUUGCAGCAUUAAGGCUGUUUUCCAAAUUAAAUUUAUCUUCCACUUAUGUUACUAUUCUAUCUGGCGGAUUUUCAAAUGGACUGGUUAGCAACACUGGUCAAUCAUUCAGUGGAACUUCUGUGAGAUUAUUAGCUGGUGUUCCAAUGGUAGAAAAGAAGAAAGUCAUGUCUGAAGAGAUGCUUUCCUUACAAAGAUCCAUUGAAGUACGAAUCAAAGAAUCCAUGAGGGCAAACAGCAUUGGU